RNAcentral lists this ribosomal RNA (393 nucleotides) under uncultured bacterium. Its description in RNAcentral is "partial 16S ribosomal RNA". It matches the Rfam family "Bacterial small subunit ribosomal RNA", at positions 523 to 918 of the family's 1533-position model. The record is from RNAcentral.
AUACGGAAGGUCCGGGCGUUAUCCGGAUUUAUUGGGUUUAAAGGGAGCGCAGGCCGGCUUUUAAGCGUGACGUGAAAUGUAGACGCUCAACGUCUGAAUUGCGUCGCGAACUGGAGGCCUUGAGUGCAUUCGACGUCAGCGGAAUUUGUGGUGUAGCGGUGAAAUGCUUAGAUAUCACGAAGAACUCCGCUUGCGAAGGCAGCUUACGAGACGGUAAAUGUCGCUAAAGCUCGAAAGUGCUGGUAUCGAACAGGAUUAGAUACGCUGGUAGUCCGCACGGUAAACGAAGGAUGCCCGCUGUUUGCGAUACAAUGUAAGCGGCCAAGAGAAAUCGUUAAGCAUCCCACCUGGGGAGUACGCCGGCAACGGUGAAACUCAAAUGAAUUGACGGGU